AAUGCCAAUAUUAAUGCUGCUCAACCUUAUUUCCUUUGGUAAUGAUAUUUCUCCAUACACUUCAUGGGAAAUAUCAAAUGAAACCACAAAAUGAUUUUUUGAUUUACCAACCCAAUGAAAUGCAUCAUGUAUAAAUGCCAAAAAUGCAUACCAUGCACCAUAUAGCAAAUGUCACAAGGAUAUUCAACAAUUUCUCCAAGAUAGAAUUUCACAAGGUCGAGUCAAAACACAUUCCCAAACAUGAAAAUUCCUCCAUUGGGAAUUCUGGAGUGGAAAGUACAAUUGAUUCUCCAGUGGAGGGAUUCUAUAGCAAAAGUAUUUGGCGUUCAACACUAUCUUCAUGAACAUUGAUAAUAACCAAUCCAUCACAACAACAAUAGACUAUGCAAUGUCGUGGUUCAAUAUUUAAAGGGAAAUUUAGUUCCCGUAUAUCCUCUAGAAAUUGCACCGAUGAUAUCGAACAACAAUAAAUUGAAAAUAGACUUCUUAGGGCGCAAUUUGAAGAACAGAAAUUUUUGGAAAGUUUUGUCAUUCUUGGCAUGAGUGAGAUUCUUCUUCUUGAAAUAUGACUCAUUAAUCAGUGUACCCCAAAGUUUUGAAACACAUUUAAAUUGAAGAAGAGACCGUACAGGCAACCUACUGUAGAAAAAUUUCCACAAGUUUAUUCUCUUCAGAGUGAACAUCCAUGGCCUAGAUAGAUAAGAAAAUUCUAUCACGCCCCUUUUUUAAGUAUUGAAAUGUUAUAUAAUUAUCACCAUAAGUUUUAUAAUGAUAAACUAGAAAGCUUGUUAAUUUAUAUUAUCUUCUAUUACCAAAAUAAAAAUAGAGUAUAAAAAGAUGAGAAAAUUUUAACAAGAGAAAGAAUCUAAGUCCUUUGUCAGUUGAAACAUGAGAGAGAAACUAAUAAGGCAAGCACUUCAAGAAUUUUUAACUAUUCAGUGAAGCUAUAAAACUGGUAUAAGGAUCAUAUAUUUUUCACCGACUCGUAAUUUUAAUAUUUUUGUGGUUGAGACAAUUAAUGUUUAAAAGAGAUGCAUUCUUGUUCUACUAAAGUUUACCAAUAGGUGUGUGUUUGGUAUGAAAAAAAGAUUAAAUCUUAGGCUUGUUUUUUUUUU
Solanum lycopersicum (tomato) is the source of this 1115-nucleotide long non-coding RNA. RefSeq lists it as uncharacterized. Lineage: Eukaryota; Viridiplantae; Streptophyta; Magnoliopsida; Solanales; Solanaceae. The record is from RefSeq and is a predicted model, not a curated record.